This 2901-nucleotide ribosomal RNA is filed under the name Escherichia coli DEC14D. RNAcentral describes it as "bacterial LSU rRNA". It matches the Rfam family "Bacterial large subunit ribosomal RNA". Lineage: Bacteria; Pseudomonadati; Pseudomonadota; Gammaproteobacteria; Enterobacterales; Enterobacteriaceae. The record is from RNAcentral.
UUAAGCGACUAAGCGUACACGGUGGAUGCCCUGGCAGUCAGAGGCGAUGAAGGACGUGCUAAUCUGCGAUAAGCGUCGGUAAGGUGAUAUGAACCGUUAUAACCGGCGAUUUCCGAAUGGGGAAACCCAGUGUGAUUCGUCACACUAUCAUUAACUGAAUCCAUAGGUUAAUGAGGCGAACCGGGGGAACUGAAACAUCUAAGUACCCCGAGGAAAAGAAAUCAACCGAGAUCCCCCAGUAGCGGCGAGCGAACGGGGAGCAGCCCAGAGCCUGAAUCAGUGUGUGUGUUAGUGGAAGCGUCUGGAAAGGCGCGCGAUACAGGGUGACAGCCCCGUACACAAAAAUGCACAUGCUGUGAGCUCGAUGAGUAGGGCGGGACACGUGGUAUCCUGUCUGAAUAUGGGGGGACCAUCCUCCAAGGCUAAAUACUCCUGACUGACCGAUAGUGAACCAGUACCGUGAGGGAAAGGCGAAAAGAACCCCGGCGAGGGGAGUGAAAAAGAACCUGAAACCGUGUACGCACAAGCAGUGGGAGCACGCUUAGGCGUGUGACUGCGUACCUUUUGUAUAAUGGGUCAGCGACUUAUAUUCUGUAGCAAGGUUAACCGAAUAGGGGAGCCGAAGGGAAACCGAGUCUUAACUGGGCGUUAAGUUGCAGGGUAUAGACCCGAAACCCGGUGAUCUAGCCAUGGGCAGGUUGAAGGUUGGGUAACACUAACUGGAGGACCGAACCGACUAAUGUUGAAAAAUUAGCGGAUGACUUGUGGCUGGGGGUGAAAGGCCAAUCAAACCGGGAGAUAGCUGGUUCUCCCCGAAAGCUAUUUAGGUAGCGCCUCGUGAAUUCAUCUCCGGGGGUAGAGCACUGUUUCGGCAAGGGGGUCAUCCCGACUUACCAACCCGAUGCAAACUACGAAUACCGGAGAAUGUUAUCACGGGAGACACACGGCGGGUGCUAACGUCCGUCGUGAAGAGGGAAACAACCCAGACCGCCAGCUAAGGUCCCAAAGUCAUGGUUAAGUGGGAAACGAUGUGGGAAGGCCCAGACAGCCAGGAUGUUGGCUUAGAAGCAGCCAUCAUUUAAAGAAAGCGUAAUAGCUCACUGGUCGAGUCGGCCUGCGCGGAAGAUGUAACGGGGCUAAACCAUGCACCGAAGCUGCGGCAGCGACGCUGAUGCGUUGUUGGGUAGGGGAGCGUUCUGUAAGCCUGCGAAGGUGUGCUGUGAGGCAUGCUGGAGGUAUCAGAAGUGCGAAUGCUGACAUAAGUAACGAUAAAGCGGGUGAAAAGCCCGCUCGCCGGAAGACCAAGGGUUCCUGUCCAACGUUAAUCGGGGCAGGGUGAGUCGACCCCUAAGGCGAGGCCGAAAGGCGUAGUCGAUGGGAAACAGGUUAAUAUUCCUGUACUUGGUGUUACUGCGAAGGGGGGACGGAGAAGGCUAUGUUGGCCGGGCGACGGUUGUCCCGGUUUAAGCGUGUAGGCUGGUUUUCCAGGCAAAUCCGGAAAAUCAAGGCUGAGGCGUGAUGACGAGGCACUACGGUGCUGAAGCAACAAAUGCCCUGCUUCCAGGAAAAGCCUCUAAGCAUCAGGUAACAUCAAAUCGUACCCCAAACCGACACAGGUGGUCAGGUAGAGAAUACCAAGGCGCUUGAGAGAACUCGGGUGAAGGAACUAGGCAAAAUGGUGCCGUAACUUCGGGAGAAGGCACGCUGAUACGUAGGUGAAGUCCCUCGCGGAUGGAGCUGAAAUCAGUCGAAGAUACCAGCUGGCUGCAACUGUUUAUUAAAAACACAGCACUGUGCAAACACGAAAGUGGACGUAUACGGUGUGACGCCUGCCCGGUGCCGGAAGGUUAAUUGAUGGGGUCAGCGCAAGCGAAGCUCUUGAUCGAAGCCCCGGUAAACGGCGGCCGUAACUAUAACGGUCCUAAGGUAGCGAAAUUCCUUGUCGGGUAAGUUCCGACCUGCACGAAUGGCGUAAUGAUGGCCAGGCUGUCUCCACCCGAGACUCAGUGAAAUUGAACUCGCUGUGAAGAUGCAGUGUACCCGCGGCAAGACGGAAAGACCCCGUGAACCUUUACUAUAGCUUGACACUGAACAUUGAGCCUUGAUGUGUAGGAUAGGUGGGAGGCUUUGAAGUGUGGACGCCAGUCUGCAUGGAGCCGACCUUGAAAUACCACCCUUUAAUGUUUGAUGUUCUAACGUUGACCCGUAAUCCGGGUUGCGGACAGUGUCUGGUGGGUAGUUUGACUGGGGCGGUCUCCUCCUAAAGAGUAACGGAGGAGCACGAAGGUUGGCUAAUCCUGGUCGGACAUCAGGAGGUUAGUGCAAUGGCAUAAGCCAGCUUGACUGCGAGCGUGACGGCGCGAGCAGGUGCGAAAGCAGGUCAUAGUGAUCCGGUGGUUCUGAAUGGAAGGGCCAUCGCUCAACGGAUAAAAGGUACUCCGGGGAUAACAGGCUGAUACCGCCCAAGAGUUCAUAUCGACGGCGGUGUUUGGCACCUCGAUGUCGGCUCAUCACAUCCUGGGGCUGAAGUAGGUCCCAAGGGUAUGGCUGUUCGCCAUUUAAAGUGGUACGCGAGCUGGGUUUAGAACGUCGUGAGACAGUUCGGUCCCUAUCUGCCGUGGGCGCUGGAGAAUUGAGGGGGGCUGCUCCUAGUACGAGAGGACCGGAGUGGACGCAUCACUGGUGUUCGGGUUGUCAUGCCAAUGGCACUGCCCGGUAGCUAAAUGCGGAAGAGAUAAGUGCUGAAAGCAUCUAAGCACGAAACUUGCCCCGAGAUGAGUUCUCCCUGACUCCUUGAGAGUCCUGAAGGAACGUUGAAGACGACGACGUUGAUAGGCCGGGUGUGUAAGCGCAGCGAUGCGUUGAGCUAACCGGUACUAAUGAACCGUGAGGCUUAACCUU